UCGUUGUAGCCAUAAGCACG
Molecule: microRNA, 20 nt
Filed under: Eptesicus fuscus (big brown bat)
Lineage: Eukaryota; Metazoa; Chordata; Mammalia; Chiroptera; Vespertilionidae
Description: efu-miR-9353
Source: miRBase by way of RNAcentral